AGAGUUUGAUCAUGGCUCAGGACGAACGCUGGCGGCGUGCUUAAUACAUGCAAGUCGAGCGAGGUUACUGUUUCGGAUCCCUUCGGGGUGAAGAAGCUUUAACCUAGCGGCGGACGGGUGAGUAACGCGUGGGUAACCUACCCCAAAGUCCGGGAUAACAGCGGGAAACCGCUGCUAAUACCGGAUGUCUUUACCUUGGGGCAUCUUGAGGUAAAGAAAGGUAACGCUUUGGGAUGGGCCCGCGUCCCAUUAGCUAGUUGGUGAGGUAACGGCUCACCAAGGCGACGAUGGGUAGCCGGCCUGAGAGGGUGGACGGCCACACUGGGACUGAGACACGGCCCAGACUCCUACGGGAGGCAGCAGUAGGGAAUAUUGCGCAAUGGACGGAAGUCUGACGCAGCGACGCCGCGUGAGCGAUGAAGGUCUUCGGAUCGUAAAGCUCUGUCCUUGGGGAAGAAGGCGAAAGCUUGACGGUACCCAAGAAGAAAGCCCCGGCUAACUACGUGCCAGCAGCCGCGGUAAUACGUAGGGGGCGAGCGUUGUCCGGAAUUACUGGGCGUAAAGGGUGCGUAGGCGGCCCUUUAAGUCGGAUGUGAAAGCCCGCGGCUUAACCGCGGAAUGGCAUUCGAAACUGGAGGGCUUGAGUGUCGGAGAGGGUAGUGGAAUUCCCAGUGUAGCGGUGAAAUGCGUAGAUAUUGGGAGGAACACCAGUGGCGAAGGCGACUACCUGGACGAUAACUGACGCUGAGGCACGAAAGCUAGGGGAGCAAACAGGAUUAGAUACCCUGAUAGUCCUAGCCGUAAACGAUGGGUACUAGGUGUGGGUGGUUUCGAUACCAUCCGUGCCGUAGUUAACGCAUUAAGUACCCCGCCUGGGGAGUACGUGCGCAAGCAUGAAACUCAAAGGAAUUGACGGGGGCCCGCACAAGCGG
Molecule: ribosomal RNA, 932 nt
Filed under: uncultured bacterium
Lineage: Bacteria
Description: bacterial SSU rRNA
Rfam family: Bacterial small subunit ribosomal RNA
Source: RNAcentral